RNAcentral lists this ribosomal RNA (396 nucleotides) under uncultured bacterium. Its description in RNAcentral is "partial 16S ribosomal RNA". It matches the Rfam family "Bacterial small subunit ribosomal RNA", at positions 523 to 918 of the family's 1533-position model. The record is from RNAcentral.
AUACAGAGGGUGCAAGCGUUAAUCGGAUUUACUGGGCGUAAAGCGCGCGUAGGUGGCUAAUUAAGUCAAAUGUGAAAUCCCCGAGCUUAACUUGGGAAUUGCAUUCGAUACUGGUUAGCUAGAGUAUGGGAGAGGAUGGUAGAAUUCCAGGUGUAGCGGUGAAAGGCGUAGAGAUCUGGAGGAAUACCGAUGGCGAAGGAAGCCAUCUGGCCUAAUACGGACACUGAGGUGCGAAAGCAGGGGGAGCAAACAGGAUUAGAUCCCCGGGUAGUCCAUGCCGUAAACGAUGUCUACUAGCCGUUGGGGCCCUUGAGGCUUUAGUGGCGCAGCUAACGCGAUAAGUAGACCGCCUGGGGAGUACGGUCGCAAGACUAAAACUCAAAUGAAUUGACGGGG